RNAcentral lists this transfer RNA (72 nucleotides) under Candidatus Acetothermia bacterium. RNAcentral describes it as "tRNA-Thr". It matches the Rfam family "tRNA". Rfam says of the family: Transfer RNA (tRNA) molecules are approximately 80 nucleotides in length. The record is from RNAcentral. Lineage: Bacteria; Candidatus Bipolaricaulota.
GCCCGUGUAGCUCAGUGGCAGAGCGUUACCUUGGUAAGGUAAAGGUCGUCGGUUCAAUCCCGACCGCGGGCU